RNAcentral lists this ribosomal RNA (404 nucleotides) under Actinomycetes bacterium. Its description in RNAcentral is "Actinobacteria bacterium partial 16S ribosomal RNA". It matches the Rfam family "Bacterial small subunit ribosomal RNA", at positions 355 to 776 of the family's 1533-position model. Lineage: Bacteria; Bacillati; Actinomycetota; Actinomycetes. The record is from RNAcentral.
UGGGGAAUAUUGGACAAUGGGCGCAAGCCUGAUCCAGCCAUGCCGCGUGAGAGAUGAAGGCCCUAGGGUUGUAAAGCUCUUUCACCGGUGAAGAUAAUGACGGUAACCGGAGAAGAAGCCCCGGCUAACUUCGUGCCAGCAGCCGCGGUAAUACGAAGGGGGCUAGCGUUGUUCGGAUUUACUGGGCGUAAAGCGCACGUAGGCGGACUAUUAAGUCAGGGGUGAAAUCCCGGGGCUCAACCCCGGAACUGCCUUUGAUACUGGUAGUCUUGAGUUCGAGAGAGGGGAGUGGAAUUCCGAGUGUAGGGGUGAAAUUCGUAGAUAUUCGGAGGAAAACCAGUGGCGAAGACGGCUCACUGGCUCGAUACUGACGCUGAGAUGCGAAAGCGUGGGGAGCAAACAGG